This 485-nucleotide ribosomal RNA is filed under the name uncultured bacterium. Its description in RNAcentral is "bacterial SSU rRNA". It matches the Rfam family "Bacterial small subunit ribosomal RNA", at positions 29 to 507 of the family's 1533-position model. The record is from RNAcentral.
AUUAAACGCUGGCGGCAUGCCUUACACAUGCAAGUCGAACGGCAGCGACGGGGCAACCUGGUGGCGAGUGGCGAACGGGUGAGUAAAGCAGUCGGAACGUGCCCUGGAGGUGGGGGAUAACGUAGCGAAAGUUACGCUAAUACCGCAUAUUCUGUGAGCAGGAAAGCAGGGGAUCGCAAGACCUUGCGCUCUGGGAGCGGCCGAUGUCGGAUUAGCUAGUUGGUGGGGUAAAGGCCUACCAAGGCGACGAUCCGUAGCGGGUCUGAGAGGAUGAUCCGCCACACUGGGACUGAGACACGGCCCAGACUCCUACGGGAGGCAGCAGUGGGGAAUUUUGGACAAUGGGCGCAAGCCUGAUCCAGCCAUGCCGCGUGAGUGAAGAAGGCCUUCGGGUUGUAAAGCUCUUUCGGCCGGGAAGAAAUCGCAUGGGUCAAUACCCUGUGUGGAUGACGGUACCGGAAUAAGAAGCACCGGCUAACUACGUG